This 77-nucleotide transfer RNA is filed under the name Candidatus Peregrinibacteria bacterium. RNAcentral's name for it is "tRNA-Met". It matches the Rfam family "tRNA". From Rfam's summary of the family: Transfer RNA (tRNA) molecules are approximately 80 nucleotides in length. RNAcentral also lists the same sequence under 1 other name. Lineage: Bacteria; Candidatus Peregrinibacteriota. The record is from RNAcentral.
GGCAGGGUAGCUCAGGUGGUUAGAGCACGGGACUCAUAAGCCCGGGGUCGGCGGUUCAAGUCCGCCUCCUGCUACCA